GAUGAACGCUGGCGGCGUGCCUAAUACAUGCAAGUCGAGCGAACAGACGAGGAGCUUGCUCCUCUGACGUUAGCGGCGGACGGGUGAGUAACACGUGGAUAACCUACCUAUAAGACUGGGAUAACUUCGGGAAACCGGAGCUAAUACCGGAUAAUAUAUUGAACCGCAUGGUUCAAUAGUGAAAGACGGUUUUGCUGUCACUUAUAGAUGGAUCCGCGCCGCAUUAGCUAGUUGGUAAGGUAACGGCUUACCAAGGCAACGAUGCGUAGCCGACCUGAGAGGUUAAACGACCACCCUGGAACUGAGCCACGGUCCAGACUCCUACGGGAGGCAGCAGUAGGUAAUCUUCCGCAAUGGGCGAAAUCCUGACGGAGCAACGCCGCGUGAUUGAUGAAGGGCUUCGGAUCUUAAAACUCUGUUAUUAGGGAAGAACGAAUGUGUAAGUAACUAUGCACGUCUUGACGGUACCUAAUCAGAAAGCCACGGCUAACUACGUG
Molecule: ribosomal RNA, 497 nt
Filed under: uncultured bacterium
Lineage: Bacteria
Description: partial 16S ribosomal RNA
Rfam family: Bacterial small subunit ribosomal RNA
Source: RNAcentral